GACGAACGCUGGCGGCGUGCUUAACACAUGCAAGUCGAACGGAAAGGCCCUGCUUUUGUGGGGUGCUCGAGUGGCGAACGGGUGAGUAACACGUGAGUAACCUGCCCUUGACUUUGGGAUAACUUCAGGAAACUGGGGCUAAUACCGGAUAGGAGCUCCUGCUGCAUGGUGGGGGUUGGAAAGUUUCGGCGGUUGGGGAUGGACUCGCGGCUUAUCAGCUUGUUGGUGGGGUAGUGGCUUACCAAGGCUUUGACGGGUAGCCGGCCUGAGAGGGUGAACGGCCACAUUGGGACUGAGAUACGGCCCAGAAUGCUACGGGAGGCAGCAGUGGGGAAUAUUGCACAAUGGGCGGAAGCCUGAUGCAGCAGCGCCGCGUGCGGGAUGACGGCCUUCGGGUUGUAAACCGCUUUCGCCUGUGACGAAGCGUGAGUGACGGUAAUGGGUAAAGAAGCACCGGCUAACUACGUG
This 468-nucleotide ribosomal RNA is filed under the name uncultured bacterium. RNAcentral describes it as "partial 16S ribosomal RNA". It matches the Rfam family "Bacterial small subunit ribosomal RNA", at positions 28 to 507 of the family's 1533-position model. The record is from RNAcentral.